RNAcentral lists this ribosomal RNA (336 nucleotides) under Triticum aestivum (bread wheat). Its description in RNAcentral is "partial small subunit ribosomal RNA". The record is from RNAcentral. Lineage: Eukaryota; Viridiplantae; Streptophyta; Magnoliopsida; Poales; Poaceae.
AUGUAUGAGGAUUGCAAGGUGCCCAAGAAGAGUUUUUUGCUCGUGGUCAUGCUUCGUAUAUCUGAGAGUACAAACAUAAUGGGAACUGUAGUAAAGUGCUUGCAAGUUAUGACACCUCACUUCAAGUCUUCGGCCGACUUUGUUAUCAAAGAGAUCAUUCAUCUCCCUACACAAGAUUUCUCCUAUGUUACAGGGAAUGAUCCAUGGAUCCACAUCCAUGAGAUGUUGACAACAUGGUUUCGUCCAGAGCCAUUAUGCUGUAAGGAUACGAGCAUGACCUCGUUCACUCUUGUCACAGCAGCAGUGACAACAGCAAUGGAAGAGGAAACAAAUUGA